RNAcentral lists this ribosomal RNA (485 nucleotides) under uncultured marine eukaryote. RNAcentral describes it as "bacterial SSU rRNA". It matches the Rfam family "Eukaryotic small subunit ribosomal RNA", at positions 809 to 1257 of the family's 1831-position model. The record is from RNAcentral.
UCUUUUGUCGGUUUCUACGAUCAAUUAGGAUAAUUUGUUUACGAAGCCUUCCUUCGCCGUUUUACGGUGUUGGAACUUCGUCGAACACGGGAUUAAUGGGGGUUGUCGGGGGAAAACGUAUCUGAGCGUGAGAGGUGAAAUUCUUAGACCGCUCGGGGACGAACUUAUGCGAAGGCAUUUUCCAAGUAUACCUUCAUCAAUCAAGAACUAAAGUGUGGAGAUCGAAGAUGAUUAGAUACCAUUGUAGUCCACUACUGCAAACGAUGACGCCCAUGGAUCGGAUAGUUUUCUGCUCUGAUGGGAUCUUUUCGGCACUGCUCCCCCUUCAACGCGAAAGCUGAGGCUAUGGUCUCAUGGGGGAGUACGUUCGCAAGGCUGAAACUUAGAGAAAUUGACGGAAUGGCMCCMCCAGGCGUGGAGUGUGCGGUUUAAUUUGACUCAACACGGGGAACCUUACCAGGACAGGACAACGGCAACCUUGUUAC